This 254-nucleotide ribosomal RNA is filed under the name uncultured bacterium. RNAcentral describes it as "partial 16S ribosomal RNA". It matches the Rfam family "Bacterial small subunit ribosomal RNA", at positions 524 to 776 of the family's 1533-position model. The record is from RNAcentral.
UACGGGGGGAGCAAGCGUUGUUCGGAUUUACUGGGCGUAAAGGGCGCGUAGGCGGCCAGCACAAGUCAGUUGUGAAAUCUCCGAGCUUAACUCGGAACGGUCAACUGAUACUGUGCGGCUAGAGUGCAGAAGGGGCAACUGGAAUUCUUGGUGUAGCGGUGAAAUGCGUAGAUAUCAAGAGGAACACCUGCGGCGAAGGCGGGUUGCUGGGCUGACACUGACGCUGAGGCGCGAAGGCCAGGGGAGCAAACGGG